Molecule: non-coding RNA, 205 nt
Organism: Paramuricea clavata
Lineage: Eukaryota; Metazoa; Cnidaria; Anthozoa; Malacalcyonacea; Plexauridae
Source: the annotation of a GenBank genome assembly
GUUUUGUUGUUUAAUGUGGUUGUUGGUAAAAAAUAUCGAUAUCGAAAAAAAGGCAAAUAUCGAGAAAAUAUCGUAUCGAAUGAAAAAGCUGGUAUCGCCAUCUCUAUACAUUUAAACAUUACAUUUUCCCUCGCGCACGUGGCUUAUAUUUUGGUAUGUUUUUCAGAUAGUCCGAAAUUGGACCACAAAAAUUGAUAUAAAAAAG